AACGAACGCUGGCGGCGUGCCUAACACAUGCAAGUCGAAUGCGACUUUCCGCUUCGGUGGAGGGGAGCAUGGCAGACGGGUGAGGAACCCGUAUCUAACCUGCCACGGGAUGGGGGAUAGUCCUGCGAAAGCGGGGGUAAUACCGCAUACGCUCGGUUGGGGCAACCUGGCUGAGGAAAGCUGGCCUCUAGAUUAUGCUGGCGUCCGGUGAGGGGGAUGCGUCCUAUUAGUUAGUUGGUGGGGUAAUGGCUUACCAAGACGACGAUGGGUAGCUGGUCUGAGAGGAUGAUCAGCCACACUGGAACUGCGACACGGUCCAGACUCCUACGGGUGGCUG
This 337-nucleotide ribosomal RNA is filed under the name uncultured Pseudomonadota bacterium. Its description in RNAcentral is "bacterial SSU rRNA". It matches the Rfam family "Bacterial small subunit ribosomal RNA", at positions 29 to 351 of the family's 1533-position model. The record is from RNAcentral. Lineage: Bacteria; Pseudomonadati; Pseudomonadota.